GCGCCCGUAGCUCAGUAGGAUAGAGCGUCGGUUUCCUAAACCGAAGGCCGCAGGUUCGAAUCCUGCCGGGCGUA
This 74-nucleotide transfer RNA is filed under the name Phycisphaerae bacterium. Its description in RNAcentral is "tRNA-Arg". It matches the Rfam family "tRNA". From Rfam's summary of the family: Transfer RNA (tRNA) molecules are approximately 80 nucleotides in length. Their secondary structure includes four short double-helical elements and three loops (D, anti-codon, and T loops). Further hydrogen bonds mediate the characteristic L-shaped molecular structure. tRNAs have two regions of fundamental functional importance: the anti-codon, which is responsible for specific mRNA codon recognition, and the 3' end, to which the tRNAs corresponding amino acid is attached (by aminoacyl-tRNA synthetases). tRNAs cope with the degeneracy of the genetic code in two manners: having more than one tRNA (with a specific anti-codon) for a particular amino acid; and 'wobble' base-pairing, i.e. permitting non-standard base-pairing at the 3rd anti-codon position. RNAcentral also lists the same sequence under 3 other names. Lineage: Bacteria; Pseudomonadati; Planctomycetota; Phycisphaerae. The record is from RNAcentral.